Molecule: microRNA precursor, 91 nt
Filed under: Tribolium castaneum (red flour beetle)
Lineage: Eukaryota; Metazoa; Arthropoda; Insecta; Coleoptera; Tenebrionidae
Description: microRNA tca-mir-3840 precursor
Source: miRBase by way of RNAcentral
CAUCAGUGAAUGCUUUGUAGGGGGUACUGUAAGUACGUACGAUUUUUUUAACGUAGUACGAACGGUACUCACUAUGAACGUUACACAGUUU